GUACACUCCUGCGGGAGGCAGCAGUGGGGAAUUUUGGACAAUGGGCGAAAGCCUGAUCCAGCAAUGCCGCGUGAGUGAAGAAGGCCUUCGGGUUGUAAAGCUCUUUUGUCAGGGAAGAAAUGGUGAGAGCUAAUAUCUCUUGCUAAUGACGGUACCUGAAGAAUAAGCACCGGCUAACUACGUGCCAGCAGCCGCGGUAAUACGUAGGGUGCAAGCGUUAAUCGGAAUUACUGGGCGUAAAGCGUGCGCAGGCGGUUUUGUAAGUCUGAUGUGAAAUCCCCGGGCUCAACCUGGGAAUUGCAUUGGAGACUGCAAGGCUAGAAUCUGGCAGAGGGGGGUAGAAUUCCACGUGUAGCAGUGAAAUGCGUAGAUAUGUGGAGGAACACCGAUGGCGAAGGCAGCCCCCUGGGUCAAGAUUGACGCUCAUGCACGAAAGCGUGGGGAGCAAACAGGAUUAGAUACCCGGGUAGUCCC
RNAcentral lists this ribosomal RNA (474 nucleotides) under uncultured organism. RNAcentral's name for it is "partial 16S ribosomal RNA". It matches the Rfam family "Bacterial small subunit ribosomal RNA", at positions 331 to 797 of the family's 1533-position model. The record is from RNAcentral.